This 406-nucleotide ribosomal RNA is filed under the name uncultured bacterium. RNAcentral's name for it is "partial 16S ribosomal RNA". It matches the Rfam family "Bacterial small subunit ribosomal RNA", at positions 30 to 526 of the family's 1533-position model. The record is from RNAcentral.
AUUGAACGCUGGCGGCAGGCCUAACACAUGCAAGUCGAACGAGUGGCGGACGGGUGAGUAAUUUCUGGGAAACUGCCUGAUGGAGGGGGAUAACUACUGGAACCGGUAGCUAAUACCGCAUACCAUCAGAUGUGCCCAGAUGGGAUUGGGUAGUUGGUGGGGUAACGGCUCACCAAGGCGACGCUCCCUAGCUGGGCUGAGAGGAUGAGCAGCCACACUGGAACUGAGACACGGUCCAGACUCCUACGGGAGGCAGCAGUGGGGAAUAUUGGACAAUGGGCGCAAGUCUGAUGCAGCCAUGCCGCGUGUAUGAAGAAGGCCUUCGGGUUGUAAAGCUCUUUUGGCGGGGAGGCGUUACCCACAGAAGAAGCACCGGCUAACUCCGUGCCAGCAGCCGCGGUAAUAC